UGCGGGGUGGAGCAGUGGUAGCUCGUCGGGCUCAUAACCCGAAGGUCGUAGGUUCGAGUCCUGCCCCCGCUA
RNAcentral lists this transfer RNA (72 nucleotides) under Bacteroidetes bacterium GWF2_35_48. RNAcentral's name for it is "tRNA-Met". It matches the Rfam family "tRNA". From Rfam's summary of the family: Transfer RNA (tRNA) molecules are approximately 80 nucleotides in length. Their secondary structure includes four short double-helical elements and three loops (D, anti-codon, and T loops). RNAcentral also lists the same sequence under 5 other names. The record is from RNAcentral. Lineage: Bacteria; Pseudomonadati; Bacteroidota.